Unclassified non-coding RNA from Prolemur simus (greater bamboo lemur), 97 nucleotides. It matches the Rfam family "Y RNA". From Rfam's summary of the family: Y RNAs are components of the Ro ribonucleoprotein particle (Ro RNP), in association with Ro60 and La proteins. The Y RNAs and Ro60 and La proteins are well conserved, but the function of the Ro RNP is not known. The record is from Ensembl. Lineage: Eukaryota; Metazoa; Chordata; Mammalia; Primates; Lemuridae.
GGCUGGUCCAAUGGUAGUGGGUUAUCAGAAUUUAUUAAUUAUUAGUGUCACUAAAGAGGAUAUAAAACCCCCCACUACUAAAUUUGACUAGUUUUAA